GGGCGAUUAGCUCAGUUGGCUAGAGCGCUUGCUCGACAAGCAAGAGGUCACUGGUUCGAGCCCAGUAUCGCCCACCA
Molecule: transfer RNA, 77 nt
Filed under: Candidatus Brocadia fulgida
Lineage: Bacteria; Pseudomonadati; Planctomycetota; Candidatus Brocadiia; Candidatus Brocadiales; Candidatus Brocadiaceae
Also listed under: 15 other names
Description: tRNA-Val
Rfam family: tRNA
About the family: Transfer RNA (tRNA) molecules are approximately 80 nucleotides in length.
Source: RNAcentral